Molecule: ribosomal RNA, 497 nt
Filed under: uncultured bacterium
Lineage: Bacteria
Description: partial 16S ribosomal RNA
Rfam family: Bacterial small subunit ribosomal RNA
Source: RNAcentral
GAUGAACGCUGGCGGCGUGCCUAAUACAUGCAAGUCGAGCGAACAGAUGAGGAGCUUGCUCCUCUGACGUUAGCGGCGGACGGGUGAGUAACACGUGGAUAACCUACCUAUAAGACUGGGAUAACUUCGGGAAACCGGAGCUAAUACCGGAUAAUAUAUUGAACCGCAUGGUUCAAUAGUGAAAGACGGUUUUGCUGUCACUUAUAGAUGGAUCCGCGCCGCAUUAGCUAGUUGGUAAGGUAACGGCUUACCAAGGCAACGAUGCGUAGCCGACCUGAGAGGGUGAUCGGCCACACUGGAACUGAGACACGGUCCAGACUCCUACGGGAGGCAGCAGUAGGGAAUCUUCCGCAAUGGGCGAAAGCUUGACGGAGCAACGCCGCGUGAGUGAUGAAGGUCUUCGGAUCGUAAAACUCUGUUAUUAGGGAAGAACAAAUGUGUAAGUAACUAUGCACGUCUUGACGGUACCUAAUCAGAAAGCCGCGGCUAACUACGUG